Molecule: long non-coding RNA, 1974 nt
Organism: Asterias rubens (European starfish)
Lineage: Eukaryota; Metazoa; Echinodermata; Asteroidea; Forcipulatida; Asteriidae
Exons: 3
Source: RefSeq, a predicted model, not a curated record
UCUGCAGCCUGUCAUUGCUGAAAUGGAUCUCCUGACAAGGACUUGUGCACAGAUUGCAGUAUCUGGAACACCGUUGAUUGGUAUAGUAUUGAGGUUAUCCAAGGUUUUGAGCAGUCUGUUGUGAAGUUGUGACUACAACCGGACCUGCCUGUUUGCAGCAUUGUUGGACACCAACGGACUCUUGUUUGCAGCAAGCAAUGCUGGAGGAUGCGGGUGCAAGGAGUCAACAACACAAUGCUUGAUUGAGACGAUGACCUUGAAGGUGACUCUUGAGGCUCCUCAACGCUUAGACUGUGUGCCACCAGCUGAAGAACUGACUCUCCGCUUAAGGUGACAGAGGGAUGUUUUGAGACUCACCACUCCGGACCAUGAUGGCGCCUCACUGUAUGAAGACACUCAAGAACGUUACCAUCUUUGACAAUAUCUGAAUGAGUGGCUGUGACUAUGGGUGCAGUUGUUGCUGUGGGCCUCAUAUUUUGAUUUAACGCAUGGGCCAAUUUCAAAGAGCUGCUGCAGCACAAAAUAGCUUAGCACAAUACAGUUAUGCUUACCUGAAUACGGUAACCAAGCAAACUAGCAUGUCCCUCUCAUGCAGUUUGCUCAUUGCUGCUUAGCAGACGAUUGUUGAGCAACAUUUUCUGCUCCAGCAGCUCUAUGAAAUUGGACCCUAUGCACCAUGAUAAUCAAGCCAUAUCAACAGCCACUCAUUCAGAUACAGCAUUUGUGUAAUGUUAACACUCAAAAUACUCUGUUCUUGAACCCAUCAAAAUCUUAUACCAUAUUGCACAAGUAGCAUGGUACUCUUUAUAAAUUAUUGAUUUCAUAAACUUGCCUCAUGCCAUUGUUGGUUUAUCAUAGAAAAUCAAAUUUUGUUCAAUUCAAGUGCAAUAUCAUUUGGAUUUUGAUGGUGUCAGAGCAAUUAGGAGUUUAACUCUAAUAAGGCCAUGUCACACUGGGCAAAAUGACUAGCAACCAGUUCCAGGCAAUCUGCAAGAAGAAAGUUCAUUCUCAAUUAUUUCAGUUUCUCGUUAAUUUCCUGGAAUAGUGAGUUACAGCUCUAGUAGAAUGUCUCUUGUACUGCCGAUGUGUUCCUUGGGCGUGCAGUGCAGUUGGUUGCCUCCAAGUUGCCUGAAAAUUGCUCUGUGUGACAUGUCCUUAAAGAUUGUACAGUUUUUUUUAAAGGAGAACAACAAAUUAAAUCAGUACCAAAAAGGCAAAAUAGUAUGUAAUAGUCUGUGCAAUUUAUGAGUGGGUACGUGAAAAUGUUAUCACUUUAAAAGCAGAUUGCAAGUAAGAGCAUUAAAACAAAAUUACAAAAUGUUGUUCCUGAACAUGUUUAAAAUCAUGGCAAGGAGAGCUUAAGCUUAGUUAUUUUACUAAGUUGAUGAAGGUAGAAAAACUGACAAAAUCUGUUGACAAUUAUUAUGUUUGUGUUAUUUUGGUACAACUAUCUUAAUAGUAUUUUGAGGUUAUUAUUGUAUGCACUUCAUCUACAGUAGAGGGAGAAAACUUCACACAUUGCUCCAUAGCAACUAUUCAAAGAUAUGUUGGAAUUUUUGGGUGCAAAAAUAAUUAAUGUAGGGCCAAAUACAUGUUUAAGCAAAAUGCAUGUGCAGACAAAAACCAUCCACAACAUCAGGACUCGGUUUCAUAAAGAGCUAAGAUUGAUCUUGUCAGUCUUAAAUUGCUUAGCAGCAAAGUGUAUGUCACAAUACAAAUUACUAUUGCAAUAGUGACCACUCAUCUUAAGACGAAUCUUAAUCCAAGAUCCGUUCAUUCAAAAAAAGGUUGUUUCCCUGCGCUCAAAAACAACUAAAGUGAAACAGAAGAUAGAUUAAUUAUUGUAAAUUGUAAAGUUUGGCAACAACUGUACUUGUACUUGUAUGGUAUUUAUGCAACUUGGAAUAAAGUGUUUAUCUAGUGGAUUUUACUUGUAUGGUAUUUAUGCAACUUGGAAUAAAGUGUUUAUUUAUC